GGUCGAUGAUGAGCCGGCAUGUAUUCUGAAUCUAAAGUUGAUUAAUACCACUUUAGCUCUAGAAUUACUCUGAGACCUG
Molecule: small nucleolar RNA, 79 nt
Organism: Dipodomys ordii (Ord's kangaroo rat)
Lineage: Eukaryota; Metazoa; Chordata; Mammalia; Rodentia; Heteromyidae
Source: Ensembl